This 532-nucleotide ribosomal RNA is filed under the name uncultured bacterium. Its description in RNAcentral is "bacterial SSU rRNA". It matches the Rfam family "Bacterial small subunit ribosomal RNA", at positions 8 to 524 of the family's 1533-position model. The record is from RNAcentral.
AGAGUUUGAUCCUGGCUCAGAUUGAACGCUGGCGGCAUGCCUAACACAUGCAAGUCGAACGGCAGCACAGUAAAGACUUCGGUUUUUAUGGGUGGCGAGUGGCGGACGGGUGAGUAAUGCAUAGGAAUCUGUCCUGGAGCGUGGGAUAACCCGAGGAAACUCGGGCUAAUACCACAUGAUAUCGAGAGAUCAAAAGCAGGGGACCGAAAGGCCUUGCGCUCUGGGGUGAGCCUACGUCGGAUUAGCUAGUUGGUGGGGUAAGAGCCUACCAAGGCGACGAUCCGUAGCUGGUCUGAGAGGAUGACCAGCCACACUGGGACUGAGACACGGCCCAGACUCCUACGGGAGGCAGCAGUGGGGAAUCUUGGACAAUGGGGGCAACCCUGAUCCAGCGAUGCCGCGUGUGUGAAGAAGGCCUUCGGGUUGUAAAGCACUUUAGGUGGGGAAGAAAGGUAACGAGCGAAUAACUCGUUGCUAUGACGGUACCCGCAGAAUAAGCACCGGCUAACUCUGUGCCAGCAGCCGCGGUAAU